GAUGAACGCUGGCGGCGUGCCUAAUACAUGCAAGUCGAGCGAACGGACGAGAAGCUUGCUUCUCUGAUGUUAGCGGCGGACGGGUGAGUAAAACGUGGAUAACCUACCUAUAAGACUGGGAUAACUUCGGGAAACCGGAGCUAAUACCGGAUGAUAUUUUGAACCGCAUGGUUCAAAAGUGAAAGAAGGUCUUGCUGUCACUUAUAGAUGGAUCCGCGCUGCAUUAGCUAGUUGGUAAGGUAACGGCUUACCAAGGCAACGAUGCAUAGCCGACCUGAGAGGGUGAUCGGCCACACUGGAACUGAGACACGGUCCAGACUCCUACGGGAGGCAGCAGUAGGGAAUCUUCCGCAAUGGGCGAAAGCCUGACGGAGCAACGCCGCGUGAGUGAUGAAGGUCUUCGGAUCGUAAAACUCUGUUAUUAGGGAAGAACAUAUGUGUAAGUAACUGUGCACAUCUUGACGGUACCUAAUCAGAAAGCCACGGCUAACUACGUG
This 497-nucleotide ribosomal RNA is filed under the name uncultured bacterium. RNAcentral's name for it is "partial 16S ribosomal RNA". It matches the Rfam family "Bacterial small subunit ribosomal RNA", at positions 28 to 507 of the family's 1533-position model. The record is from RNAcentral.